This 253-nucleotide ribosomal RNA is filed under the name uncultured bacterium. Its description in RNAcentral is "partial 16S ribosomal RNA". It matches the Rfam family "Bacterial small subunit ribosomal RNA", at positions 524 to 776 of the family's 1533-position model. The record is from RNAcentral.
UACGGAGGGGGCAAGCGUUGUUCGGAUUUACUGGGCGUAAAGGGCGCGUAGGCGGAUCAAUCAGUCAGGGGUGAAAUCCCGAGGCUCAACCUCGGAACUGCCUUUGAUACUGUUGAUCUUGAGUCCGGAAGAGGUGAGUGGAACUGCGAGUGUAGAGGUGAAAUUCGUAGAUAUUCGCAAGAACACCGGUGGCGAAGGCGGCUCACUGGUCCGGAACUGACGCUGAGGCACGACAGCGUGGGGAGCAAACAGG